This 253-nucleotide ribosomal RNA is filed under the name uncultured bacterium. RNAcentral's name for it is "partial 16S ribosomal RNA". It matches the Rfam family "Bacterial small subunit ribosomal RNA", at positions 524 to 776 of the family's 1533-position model. The record is from RNAcentral.
UACAGUGGUCCCAAGCGUUGUUCGGAUUCAUUGGGCGUAAAGGGUGCGUAGGCGGUGGGGUAAGUUGGAUGUGAAAUCUUGGGGCUUAACCUCAAAAUUGCAUUCAAUACUGCUCCGCUCGAGUUCUGUAGAGGAGAUUGGAAUUUACGGUGUAGCAGUGAAAUGCGUAGAUAUCGUAAGGAACGCCAGUGGCGAAAGCGAAUCUCUGGGCAGCAACUGACGCUGAGGCACGAAGGCCAGGGGAGCAAACGGG